Molecule: ribosomal RNA, 448 nt
Filed under: uncultured bacterium
Lineage: Bacteria
Description: bacterial SSU rRNA
Rfam family: Bacterial small subunit ribosomal RNA
Source: RNAcentral
UCGAGAAUUUUUCUCAAUGGGGGCAACCCUGAAGGAGCGACGCCGCGUGGAGGAUGAAGGCUUUCGGGUUGUAAACUCCUGUCAUUUGGGAACAAGUUGGACGUGUUAACUGCACGUGCAUUGAUAGUACCAGAAGAGGAAGGGACGGCUAACUCUGUGCCAGCAGCCGCGGUAAUACAGAGGUCCCAAGCGUUGUUCGGAUUCAUUGGGCGUAAAGGGUGCGUAGGUGGCGCCGUAAGUCGGGUGUGAAAUUUCGGAGCUUAACUCCGAAACUGCAUUCGAUACUGCGGUGCUUGAGGACUGGAGAGGAGACUGGAAUUCAUGGUGUAGCAGUGAAAUGCGUAGAGAUCAUGAGGAAGACCAGUGGCGAAGGCGGGUCUCUGGACAGUUCCUGACACUGAGGCACGAAGGCCAGGGGAGCAAACGGGAUUAGAUACCCCCGUAGUCC